UACGUAGGGCGCAAGCGUUGUCCGGAAUUAUUGGGCGUAAAGAGCUCGUAGGCGGCUUGUCACGUCGGGUGUGAAAGCCCGGGGCUUAACCCCGGGUCUGCAUUCGAUACGGGCUAGCUAGAGUGUGGUAGGGGAGAUCGGAAUUCCUGGUGUAGCGGUGAAAUGCGCAGAUAUCAGGAGGAACACCGGUGGCGAAGGCGGCGACCUGGGCAGAUACUGACACUGAGGUGCGAAAGCGUGGGGAGCAAACAGG
This 253-nucleotide ribosomal RNA is filed under the name uncultured bacterium. RNAcentral's name for it is "partial 16S ribosomal RNA". It matches the Rfam family "Bacterial small subunit ribosomal RNA", at positions 524 to 776 of the family's 1533-position model. The record is from RNAcentral.